UCAAAAACAUGCUUUUUAUAUUAAUUUAAAGUCUAAUCUGCCCACUGAUAAAUAUUAUUAAAGGGCUGCAGUAUAUUGACUGUACAAAGGUAGCAUAAUCAUUAGUCUUUUAAUUGAAGACUUGUAUGAAAGAUUUGAUGAAAUAUAAACUGUCUCUAAUUUAUAAAUAGAAAUUAAUUUUUUAAUUAAAAAGUUAAAAUAUUAUUAAAAGACGAGAAGACCCUAUAGAGUUUUAUAAUUUAUUUAUUUAAUUAUAAAAUAUAUAUUUAAAUUUAAUAAAUAAAUAAAUUAUUAUAUUGGGGUGAUAAAAAAAUUUAAUAAACUUUUUUUAAUUAAAUAACAUAAAUAAAUGAAAAAAUGAUCCAUUAUUAAUGAUUAGAAGAAAAAAUUACCUUAGGGAUAACAGCGUAAUGUUUUUUUUUAGUACAAAUAAAAAAAAAAGUUUGCGACCUCGAUGUUGGAUUAAGAUAAAAUUUAAAUGCAAAAGUUUAAAAGUUUUGAUCUGUUCGAUCAUUAAAAUCUUACAUGAUCUGAGCU
This 537-nucleotide ribosomal RNA is filed under the name Euphydryas phaeton. Its description in RNAcentral is "partial 16S ribosomal RNA". The stretch from base 399 to 537 matches the Rfam family "Archaeal large subunit ribosomal RNA", at positions 2542 to 2680 of the family's 2987-position model. The record is from RNAcentral. Lineage: Eukaryota; Metazoa; Arthropoda; Insecta; Lepidoptera; Nymphalidae.